UACGUAGGGUGCGAGCGUUAAUCGGAAUUACUGGGCGUAAAGCGUGCGCAGGCGGUGAUGUAAGACAGGUGUGAAAUCCCCGGGCUCAACCUGGGAACUGCAUUUGUGACUGCAUCGCUGGAGUGCGGCAGAGGGGGAUGGAAUUCCGCGUGUAGCAGUGAAAUGCGUAGAUAUGCGGAGGAACACCGAUGGCGAAGGCAACCCCCUGGGCCUGCACUGACGCUCAUGCACGA
Molecule: ribosomal RNA, 233 nt
Filed under: uncultured bacterium
Lineage: Bacteria
Description: partial 16S ribosomal RNA
Rfam family: Bacterial small subunit ribosomal RNA
Source: RNAcentral